This 250-nucleotide ribosomal RNA is filed under the name uncultured bacterium. Its description in RNAcentral is "partial 16S ribosomal RNA". It matches the Rfam family "Bacterial small subunit ribosomal RNA", at positions 779 to 1031 of the family's 1533-position model. The record is from RNAcentral.
UAGAUACCCUGGUAGUCCGCACGGUAAACGAUGGAUGCUCGCUGUUGGAUAUUUUUAUUCAGUGGCUAAGUGAAAACGUUAAGCAUCCCACCUGGGGAGUACGCCGGCAACGGUGAAACUCAAAGGAAUUGACGGGGGCCCGCACAAGCGGAGGAACAUGUGGUUUAAUUCGAUGAUACGCGAGGAACCUUACCCGGGCUUGAAUUGCAGCUGAACGAUCCAGAGAUGGUGAGGCCCUUCGGGGCAGCUG